AUACGAAGGGGGCAAGCGUUGUUCGGAAUAACUGGGCGUAAAGCGCACGUAGGCGGAAUGUUAAGUUAGAGGUGAAAUCCCAGGGCUCAACCCUGGAACGGCCUUUAAUACUGGCAAUCUAGAGACCGAGAGAGGUGAGUGGAAUUCCGAGUGUAGAGGUGAAAUUCGUAGAUAUUAGGAAGAACACCAGUGGCGAAGGCGGCUCACUGGCUCGGUACUGACGCUGAGGUGCGAAAGCGUGGGGAGCAAACAGGAUUAGAAACCCUAGUAGUCC
This 274-nucleotide ribosomal RNA is filed under the name uncultured bacterium. RNAcentral's name for it is "partial 16S ribosomal RNA". It matches the Rfam family "Bacterial small subunit ribosomal RNA", at positions 523 to 796 of the family's 1533-position model. The record is from RNAcentral.